UUUCACACCCACUAGGGUGGUUAUAAUAAAAAAUCUUUAAUGAAAUAUAAGUGUUGGUGAAGAUGUGGAGAAAUGAGAUCCCUCACACAUUGCUAGUGGGAAUGUAAAAGGGUACAGCUGCCGUGGAAGUUUGGCAGUUCCACCUUAAGCUAAACACAGAAGCACGACAGGACCCUGAAAUUCCACUCUUAGUAUAGACUAAAACAAAUUAAAUACACUUGUUCAGACAAAAGCUUGCACAAGAAUGUUCACAGCAGCACUAUUCACAACCCCAACAGUGGAAACAACCCCUAUGUCCACCACUGAUGAAUGGAUAAACAAAAUGUGGGUAUAUCCAUACAAUGGAAUAUUAUUCAGUCUCAUAAAAAGAAACAAAAUACCGACACAUGCUACAACAUGGAUGAACCUUGAAAACAUUAUGCUGAGUAGAAGAAGCCAGACACAAAAGGCCAUAUAGUGUACAAUCCCAUUUAUAGGAAAUGUUCAGAAUGGGGAGAUUUUUAGAGACAGAAUGCAGAUUGCUGGCUGCCAGGGGCUGGGAGUCAGGGACUGAGGAGCGGUGUGGAACUGGGGGGUGGUGACAGUCAAGAAGCAUUUUCUUUUUUUUUCUUUUCUUUUCUUUUUUUUUUUGAGAUAGGGUCUCACUCUGUCACCCAGGUUGGAGUACAGUGGCAUGAUCUCCGCUCACCACAGCCUCAACCUCCUGAGCUCAAGCAGUCCUCCCACCUCAGCCUCCCAAGUAGCUAACUACAUGGGCACACCAUCACAAGAACUCAUUUUUGUAUUUUUUUUUUGUAGAUACAGGGUCUCCCCAUGUUGCCCAGGCUGGUUUUGAACUCCUGGGCUCAAGCAAUCCACCCGCCUCAGCCUCCCAAAGUGUUGGGAUUACAGGCAUGAGCCACCGUGCCCAGCCUGCACAGCAUUUUCAAUGUACUAAAUGCUGCUAAAUUAUACACUUUUUAAGGCCAGGUGCAGGGCUCACGCCUGUAAUCCCAGAACUUUGGGAGGCCAAGGUGGGCGGAUUGCCUGAGCUCAGGAGUUUGUGACCAGCCUGGGCAACAUGGUGAGACCCCAUCUCUACUAAAAACACAAAAAAUUAGGCAGGCGUGUUGGCACACACCUGUAAUCCCAGCUACUUGCGAGGCUGAGACAGGAGAAUCACUUGAACACAGGAGGCAGAGGUUGCAGUGAGCCGAGAUUGCACCACUACACUGCAGCCUGGGUGACAGAGUGAGACUGUCUCCUAAAUAAAUAAAACAUUUUAAAAUGGUUAAAAUGGCAACUUUUAUGUGUACUCUGCCAGAAUUCUCUUAAGUUAAAAAAAAAUGUGAGUUUUGAACCUCCCCUCCAAGGGCCUGGGAGCUGCCAACACAGAGUCAGCCACAGUGUUUCCAGAUGGACAGAACGAAUCAAAAAGAUGUCUGCCAGACACUAUGCCAACAGGAAGAUGGGACUCAAGUUGUUUUUAAAAUUUUUUGUGCCUUGGCCUGCUGGAGAAAUAAAAGCUCUGAACUUGAGUUCACAUAGGCCUGAAUGUAAAUGCUGGUUCCAACACUGGCUGUGUGACCUUGGGCAAAUCACUGAGUCUUUCUGGGCCUCAGUUUUCUCAUCUGUAAAAUGGAGAUAAGCAGCAGCUCUUUGUUAACUCAUGAAAAAGCCCUAAGUGUAGUGCAGGAACACAGUAAGGACCAGCAAGGGUUGGUUUCUUUCCUCCCUCUCCUUUCCCCACACAUGUCCUUGACAUUUAUCCCAGCCAGAUUUCACCUGUACAGACACCCUCCCGGGAGGUUGUACACAGAGCAACACUUGUCGAGGUUCUCUGAUGGACCCUGCCCAUGGGAUGUUUACACUUUCAAAGAGAAAACGAGUUAAUCCACAGGAAGCCUAAGUGAUAGAGGGGACUGAAGAAUUUCUAAACUAAUCCAGGAAAUAUUCUGGACUAAUCCAGGAAAUAUUCAGGCCCUUUCCCUCCAAUCAUGCCACCAGGCCAGCAACCUGCUUCAACACUAUCUCCCUUCACACGCACACGCUCUCCAAACUCCUUACCCAACAAUUCCCAGGAGCUGGUUUCUGACCUUGUUCUCCCCUGUCCAUAGCUCAAAAUGUCAGCAUAAGAAUGCUGUUCGGCCUUUCUAGGGAAGAACUAUUCUUGUUUUCAAUUUUUGGUAUUAAAAUAUUCAUUUUUUAGGAUACAAUAGUAGGAAACUAAUUUUUUACCUAUCCUGUGUCCUUACUUGACAAAAUAAGAUGCCACGAACCUUUAUGCCAGUUCCCAAAAUGACUUUUUGAAUUUUUAUUGAUAAAUCCUCAAAUCUGAGAGCACAACACUGUGCUCCCUAACCCUAAUCUCCCUCUCCCAGCAGGGAGUGAAUCCUGCUUCAUUUGCUCAGUGAGCACAAGGAAGGCACGGGCCCUGGGGUCCAUCCCUGCCAGGCCACUCCUUCCAGCCCUCUCUGUCAUUCCCACAGCAGCAGACAGGCAACAGCAUUCCCUCUUCCCAGCAUCGCUGAUGCCAGGCUGGGUACCACAACCUCUGCAUACCAACGGACUGGUCCCUACAUCCUGAUGCCAGAGGAGGUGGGUAACAUUGAGCCAUCACACUCACUCAAUUACCAGACCCCUGGGUCAGCUUAAGAAGGGAUGGAGUCCGGGCGCAGUGGCUCACACCUAUAACCCCAGCACUUUGGGAGGCCAAGGAGGGUGGGUCACCUGAGAUCAGGAGUUCAAGACCAGCCUGACCAACACGGAGAAACCCCGUCUCUACUAAAAUUACAAAAAAUUAGCCAGCCAUGGUGGCGCAUGCCUGUAAUCCCAGCUACUCGGGAGGCCGAGGCAGGAGAAUCACUUGAACCCAGGAGGCAGAGGUUGUGGUGAGCCGAGAUCAUGCCACUGCACUCCAACCUGGGCAACAAGAGCAAAACUCCAUCUCAAAAAAAAAAAAAAAAAAAAAAAGAAGGGAUGGUCUGUGUUCAGAGAGCAAUUUUCCUCUGAACCAAAUGAAGCUUCAUCAGACUGUGUGGACCCCACUCCGCCUGAACAAGUCACAGCCCAAUCUCCCCACUGAGAGGGGCCUAUGAGCAUCGCUGUGUCCUCUUGACCUUCUGUAAGUCUCUCGGGUUUGACCAGACCAUUCUAGGUAUUGUCCUACCACGCAGGGUAAUGCAAAGGGCGUGGCCAAGGUCCCUAAUGCUACAGCCAGUAAUAUACCCCAAACUCUCCACUCAAAAUCCUGUCCUGGGCUGGAAAGCAAAGUAAGUGGCAGAAACAUGAGGCCACCCCUGGACAUUCCCACUCUGGGAGAUAUCAGGCUCAGCUCCACAUGUAACCUGCAGCAUGUGUUAGAAACCAUCAGGAGAUCACCAAGGGCUGCUAAGGGAAAAGGUUGGGGAAGACAAUGACAGGCAGGCAGGCAGCAAAUACAGGCUAAGGGUUCACUAUGGACCAGGCAUACUGCUCAGGGUCAAGAAAGCAAAAAUGAGGAGGACAUGAUGCCCUGCCCUGAAGGGGCUCACAGAUGAGCAGGUGUGGCUUGGAGGAAGAGGAGAGGCCAGGACUAACACGUAUCAAGUCUGUUCAUCUUCUGAGUUCCCAGAGAAAAGAGCCCCACACUCACGGAGCUGACAAGCAAGCCAGAAAGUAGGGAAAUUUCAGGUUGGGAUAAGCCCUAGAAGAAAAUAAACAGAAAGUAAGAUGAAGCAAAACCAGGCGGGGGAUUUAGAGAAGGUGGUUGCAGAGGGCCUCUCUGAGGAGGUGACAUUGGAAAUGAGGUGGAGAAUGGAAUGAGAAGGAAACAUUCCAGGUAGAGAAGGGCAGGUGCAAAGGCAGGGACGCAAGAAAGGACUGAGAAUGUUCAAGGAGGGGCAGGGACGUUGAUGUGGGUGAGAUGUGGAGAGCAACAGGAGACAGGAGGCAGGCAAGGCUUUGCAGGCCUGGUGAGGAAUCCGGGUUAAAUAUGAGCAUUAUCCCCAUUUAGUAGAUGAGAAAACCAAAGCUCAGAGGUUAAGUAACUUGCCCAGGGUCGCAUAGCUGGUGAGUAGCCAAGCUGAGAUUCCAUCAUAUAGUCUGGUAACAAAGUCCAUGUUUUCUUUCCUCUACUCACUGAACAGGAACUGGCUGGCUGUGACAAAAUGUGAUAACUGUUAAGUGAUUAAUGACAAGUGGUUUAUGACAGAAGCCUGGGGUGGGGGGACACAGUUUGCCGGGGAAGUCUUCAUGGAGGAACUAACUGGGUCCCUAAGAAUGAGGAGGAUUUUGCCAGGUGGAAAAGUGGGGAGGACGAGCGCUCAAAACAAGGAGAAUAACUUGAGCAAGGCCAGGGAUGUGGAACAUGAGGCCUGGUGGGAGCUGAGAGGCAAUGGAGUUGCUGAGAGUAGAACUGGCGGGAGAUGGGCGUGGAAGGCAGGGUGGGCCAGACCAGAAGGGACCCUGAAUGCCUACCAAGGAUGUCUACAUUGAAUUUCUGGGCAACGAGGAGCCAAGGCAGGUUCUUCAACAGGCUGAGCUGUACUGUGCUUUAGAAAGAUGACUGUGAUGCAGGGGCCUGGAGAGGCUGGUGUGUGGGGAGGGGCAGCUAAAAUAAAUGGCCAGAGGCUGUAGAGAGAGGUGGGGCAGGACAGGGCCCGUCAAGCCCCAGAGGUAACCAAGACUGAGAAGGAGUUUCACUCUUGUUGCCCAGGCUGGAGUGCAAUGGUGCGAUCUUGGCUCACUGCAACCUCUGCCUCCCGAGUUCAAGCGAUUUUCCUGCCUCAGCCUCCUGAGUAGCUGAAACUACAGGCGUGUGCCACCACACCCAGCUAAUUUUUGUAUUUUUAGUAGAGACAGGUUUUCACCAUGUUGGCCAGCUGGUCUCGAACUCCUGAUCUCAGGUGACCCACCCUCCUUAGCCUCCCAAAGUGCUAGGAUUACAGGAAUGAGCUACCACACCCGGCCAAGAAAGUAUUUUUACAGACCCCAAGAAUGGGGUGUCCAGCUGGGCGUGGUGGCUCAUGCCUGUAAAAUCCCAGUACUUUGGGAGGCCAAGGUUGGCGGAUCACCUGAGGUCAGGAGUUCGAGACCAGCCUGGCCAGCAUGGUGAAACCCUGUCUCUACUAAAAAUACAAAAAAUUAGCUGGGCGUGGUGGGAGGAGCCCGUAAUCCCAGCUACUUGGGAGGCUGAGGCAGGAGAAUCGCUUGAACCCGAGAUGGCGCCAUUGCACUCCAAUCUGGGUGACGAGAGCGAAACUCCGUCUCAAAAAACAAAAAAAGAAUGCAGUGUCCCCAGCCCCAGGCCCCGCCCUGCUUCACCCCACCUCCCUCCACAGUUUGGCCUGGGUCCAUGGCUGGAGUCCCUUCCUAGCCUAUAGCCCCAGGCCCUGCUGCAGUGACCCCCAUCAGCCCAGGGCAUUCUGUUCAUGCCCCAUGACUCUCAUGAAGGAUGAGAGCAGGGUGCUGGCUUUACAGGAGUUGGGUGAACCUCAGAUACUGAGAGUGGACAACACUUACACAGCCCUGACCCGGAAAGGGGACCUGUUUUAAGUGCCUUAUUUUGACUCACUUCAACCCUACAAGGUACGUACUAUUACAUUCCAAGGAGGGGAAACUGAUGCACAGGGGACUUGCCCAAGGGAUGUGAACCCUGGCAGUCUGGUGCCAGGGUCUGUCCUCCGUACUCCACCUCAAGGUAGUCAUUGCUCUCUCUAGACUCUGAGUGUCUCUACCUGCUCUCCUCUCUCCUCUUUGCUUUCACAAUGAUCCUGCCAGAUGCUCUCUUUCCUGCCAGAAGGGAGGGCUACAUGUGAAAAUCUGGCAUCAGAGUCUCAGCCACUCCCUUCUCAGGAACCACCUGCCUGCCUGCCAUAGCAGGCGGUGAAGAGCCAGCCCUGACAUCAGACAGCUCCUGGAGGCAGGCAGGCCUGUCUGAACCCUCCUCCCUGCUGCAACAGAAAUGGCUACCAGCCCCACUGGCCAGGCCUACAGCAGGCUGUGCCUGGCCCCCACUUGACAGGCAGCACUCACCUCUCACCUCUGCUCUGGGGGCCCAGCUGAGGCAGCACCUGCCCAGGAUGUCAUGGUGCCAUAGUUGCACCAGCUCCAGGACCAGGGCAGCUGAACGCCCCUUUGCCCACUAGAUGGCACAAUGUGCACAGAAAUGUGGGUUGACCGCUUGGCCACCCUUUCCACCUGCAGAGGAACUGGAUUUCACCACACUCUGCAUUUAUCUCAUUUUUAUUCUCAUUCCUCAUCCUAACCCAUAGCCAACCAUUUGUAUGUGUCCUUGCAAAACAAGUGCAUGUAUUUUUUAGUUUCACAAUUAGUAAUAUAUAUAUAUAUAUAUAUAUAUAUAUAU
RNAcentral lists this long non-coding RNA (6325 nucleotides) under Homo sapiens (human). RNAcentral describes it as "HSALNT0334393". The record is from RNAcentral. Lineage: Eukaryota; Metazoa; Chordata; Mammalia; Primates; Hominidae.